UACGUAGGCAGCAAGCGUUGUUCGGAAUUACUGGGCGUAAAGAGUGUGUAGGCGGUGCUCUAAGUUUGGUGUGAAAUCUCCCGGCUCAACUGGGAGGGUGCGCCGAAAACUGGAAUGCUUGAACGUGGGAGAGGAAAGCGGAAUUCCUGGUGUAGCGGUGAAAUGCGUAGAUAUCAGGAGGAACACCUGCGGUGUAGACGGCUUUCUGGACCAUUGUUGACGCUGAGACACGAAAGCGUGGGUAGCAAACAGG
RNAcentral lists this ribosomal RNA (253 nucleotides) under uncultured bacterium. Its description in RNAcentral is "partial 16S ribosomal RNA". It matches the Rfam family "Bacterial small subunit ribosomal RNA", at positions 524 to 776 of the family's 1533-position model. The record is from RNAcentral.